CACGGAUUGACUUUGUCGGGUUCACCGUCACAAUACGCUUUUUCCCGUGAAUUUACGCUUUCAGUUUUUUUUCUUCAACACGUCUAUAUUUAUUUUCUAUAUCCAAGAGGUGGUACUAAUCUCAUCCGCAAAAAAGGUUGUUUUCCUUACGUUUAUUUGUUUUCCGUGCGUUUAUUAGAUUGGGCUAUUGCGAUGCGUCUCAAUUGGGCUGGGCGAGACCGAGUCUCCUUCUUGUUAUUUCAUCAAUCGAUCUCCUUCUUUCUUUCGUCCGCAAAGGACACCCGGUCUCCUUCCUCUUCUUCUUUGAUACAACCCUGUCUUCUUUCUCUUUUUAGUCCAAUCUUCCACUUUUCAAUCCUUUUUGUGAUACAAAUAAAUACAUCUAUUCCAUCGAACAAGCCCUCCCAAGGAGAGGACCAGCGUCGUCCCCGGCCUCUGGCGACCGGCCGGCGAGCCCAACGCCGGAGCACCACCAACACCCGCAGCCCCCAGCGCCCAGCCUUCCUACACGCUCAAGAGCAGGAGACGAACGCCCGCUCGGGAGGAGAACCCGAGUGCGCCCGCGCCACCCUGAGCCGCCACCGGGGGAAGCUCCCGCCGCUCGCCGGCGACGUGCAGGAUCCCGCGACCCCAACGCCGCCGCUCUGCCUGCCUCCUCUCUCUCUAUUUCUUCCUUCCCUUCUUCUCUGGUUCUCUCUCUCAUAUUUCUCUCUCUUCACUGUCCCGUAGCAGGAACAGCCGCUGGCGCUCGUCCCCGACCAACUCCGGUGCCCUGGCCUCACCGCCAAAGCUGGGAGCCAUCCCCACCGGCCGGAUCUGAUGCGCAGCCACCUCGCUGUUGCGCCGCCAUCACCCCUGCAACGGAUCAUCCCGCCCUCCACCUCUUUUUCGUCGGGGAGACGACGAACUCGUCCUCGAGCAUUGACCGCGCGCCCGCGUUCGUGGGCUGCAUCCACGGGCGAUCGAUCACCGCCUCAUGUACGCCGCCGGGCGUCGGACUAAUUUUCAUAAGCUUCAUUCAUAUGUGACAUCAGGAAGCUUCAAAAAACAGGAGAAGUGCAAGAAAACGUCGCCCCAAACAAAUCGCAACUUGCCAGCCUCCGCAACAGCCGUCAGAACCAUGGCUCACGGACGCCUGCUCCGCGGAUCGGCGGAUCCUUCCCUGGUGCCAUGCUUCAGCGGCUUGUGCUGCUCGGUAUCCCUCGUCCAAAUAAUCGGUAUGUCUGUUCAAAAAAAAAAAUCGGUAUGUGUCCUUCCUGCGGCUACACCUUCAGGAUUUUCACCGCCACCAUGCUUCGGAGGCUUGCUGUUGUUCUUGUCCUCUUUGCUGCUGUGCGCAAGCGCACCUACGCAUAUAUGGUUCUGGCCCAGGGAGCACAACUCUCUAACUCUUGCCCUUCUGUCGUUGAUCUAGGUAUGCACCCCCGAUGCUAUUACAGCUAAUCUCUGAUAAAGAAGUUUUUGGUCCUGAUGCAACUCAUUGACGAACGCAAUUAGGCUUGUAGACUGGCUUCCAAUCUCCAUUGAUUCUCAUUCAUGCACUGACUGCUAUUCUAAACAAUUAUUAUUAGAUAUUAAUAUUAAUGGAGCAUCAAUGUUUUUUGAAAAAAUUUAAUAAGCAGAUAACUCAAGGCUUUCAUUUUUUAUGUAGAUAAGCAGCAGGAGUAUUUCAUAGAUCACGGACCCCAUGUAGUCUGACGUUCAAGGAGGGAAUCUGGCUCAGGAUGCCUGUGUCCAUAUUGUACUUUUGAUAUCUGACUUUCAUAUUGUACUAUGAUGAUCGUGGAUCGUGUGUGCAUAUUGUACUUUUGAUGAGCUACACUUUUAAGGAAUCUGAUUUCAGGAGUCUGAUGGUAAGGUAAGUGUUAAUGUGUUAUUUAGUGUUAGUUUAGUGCAGCUGCUCCCCUGAGGCCCUGACUGGCUUCUUAGCUCCCUCUCCACUUACCUGUCAGCUGGGCGUGUUGAUUCGAUCUUUUGAUCUGGAAAAAUUGACACACUAGGACGUACACAAAAACUUUAAGGUUAGUUCGUACAUGAUUGAAUCUUCUCCGUGCAAAAACUGACAAUACACAAAUUGUAGCAAAAUCAAUGAGGAGCUGAAUCUGCAGUCUUCCCUUACCGCCCAGUAGUUCCCAAUUUAUUUUUGGAUUUUUAUUGUUAUUUGGUAAGCAUAGCACCUGAUUUACAGUGAAGUGCAUCUAUCAAUUUAAUUGUUUGACCGUUAAUACACAGUACAUCCGUGUCCAUGUCGUCAAUGUGUUGCUCGCCGACCGUACUGUUCUCGAGAUCCGCCUUGAAGACGGUGGAUCGGGCCUUCAGCACACAUCGUUCGUUAGCAUCUCCGCCUGAUGCUUCUAUAGGAAGAGAGACCCCCAUACUUAUAUUUUUAAUCCACAUGGAUAGUACAAUUUUUUUUAAUCCACAUGGAUAGUUCUGUAGAAAAAUUGUUAUUUUGUAGUCUUCUUAACUUGGCUAAUGAAUAUCCACUCUUCAUGUGACAAGAAGUGCAUGAACUUGGCUAAUGUUUAGGGGCAUAAGCAUGAUCAUGUCAAAAGUGCAUACAAGCAUCAUGUAAUUAUGUUCUUACAGAGAUAACAUUCAGUUUAGUAAUCUCUCUUGGCUGAGGGAUUUGACUACCCUUCAUCAGAGCGUGUUAGAGCUAUGGAUACUGAACUCGCAAGAUUCCUUUUUUGUAUGUCCGCAGGGAAGUGUUGACUACUUGAACAUGCUGGAAAGUGUUGACUACUUGGAGUAACUUGCAAGUAACAGAUGUUUUGACAACAAUAACUGCUACCAAUGAGGACCACUGGCAAGAUAUAGCACAACAACCUGGUCCCUGUUCCGUAAAGGUUGGCCUGAUCCCUGUUGAAAUCAAUUUGGCGUGGUACAUUAGUUGUAUUGUUCACCCUGCAUGUUUUUUUUCACUUUCCUAAAGUAUGUUUGAGUAUAGCUUAUGGUUUAUUUAUAAGCUUGUGAGUUAAUUAAAGCUCACUUGGUGGUUCUAACUAAUUAUACUAAAAUAUGACCAUGACCGAAAGAUAGAUGGAGGUUCAGAUGCAGAGUGAAAGCCUGCACCAACAAGUUGUAGUUGUAUAUGGAACCUGGCGACUUGAUGGUGAGCACUAACCUUCACUCCGCAAGAAUCCUUUUUGACACUUACUCUGUAGAAAAAACCUUUCAGUUUAAUAUAUUCUGCUAUUGUGGUUAAUAGAUCAAUGAACAAUCAUUUGAAUUGUGCUCCAUGAUAUUCAAGCUACUAUUGUAAGAAAUUGAAAGAUGUUCAUGUUUUGCCGCCCUCGUGUUUGUCUUGACACGCUGGCGCUACUGUUAGUUGCUUUCCACGCAAAUAAGAACAUAAUACAUCAACACUCUUCUUAGUGUUGGUGUUGAAAUACAGGACUUUGAUGUGGGAUGUAGCCAUGCUUAUUGGACUAGGCAUCUAAGAAUUUUUUUCCCGUUGCAACGCACGGGUAUUUUUGCUAUCUUUCCCUAAUAAUAAAGCACGGAUUUACUUUGUCGGGUUCACCGUCACAAUACGCUUCUUCCUGUGAUUUUAUGCUUUCAGUUUGAAUUUAAAACAUAUUCGAGGUGGUACUAAAUUUUCGCUCUAUCUAUUUCGCCGCGUCUGAUUUAAUUCCGUAGGUGGCUGAUUCGCUGAAAAAAUAUGGUUGACGCCGCUGGGAUUUGAUUCAUGGUCUGCCAUGUAUAGAUUGCAGCGCAGCAGACCACUAAGGCUAGGCUCCUAAGCUUGCUAAUUUGGGCGUCUGGAACCUUAAGAAUAAAGGACAGGCGUACUCGGGCCGAGAUCAACAGGCACGGUCGUGAUGGGCAUGUACGAGUGCCGCGGCCCACUGGACGGACAAGGGACCAGGCUGGAAGUUGUUUUUCAUAUUUGUUUACUUGUCAAAUAGUCCCACCUUGCUAUUUUACAUUAAUUUUUACCAGUUUAUAUACAAUUUUUAGGUUGUCAGGCAUCAAGAAGCUGCUUUGGAAAUUAAGCAAAGAAAUAAAGAAAGGAAAUAGACAUUCUUUGCAUGAGAAAUAAAGAAGGAAGAUGGUAAUUAUGUGGAGCCGGCAAGAAAGGUAAUAUGUAUUGAAUAAGAAAUAAAGAAGGAAGAAAAGCGAUGGUAAUUAUGUGGGUGCCAUAUUAAUCGCAUGAGUAAUUAGCAGGCCUAGCAAAAAAGAAAAAAUAAUUGCAUGAGAAAUAAAGAAGGAAGGAGAAAGAGAGAGGAAGGAAAUGGACGGUAAUUAUGUGGGCAUCAUGAUAUAAGGAAAGAAAGAGAAAGAAAAACUAAUUAACAGGAGGUGCGGGAAUCAAUGGCAGGUUGCCAUGCCAUCUUAUGAGUAAAAAUGAUGUGGCAUUUUUUAAUCCUCACUAAAUUCAUGUCAUUUUUUUCUUCCAUUAUGUUUUCCUUGCUCUUAUAAUCUUUACUAAAUUUGCGCCAAAUUUGUAGCACAUUGAACAUUAUGUUUGCACAUACAAUCCUCACUAAAUUUAUGUCAAAUGUUUCAA
Aegilops tauschii subsp. strangulata is the source of this 4513-nucleotide non-coding RNA. Lineage: Eukaryota; Viridiplantae; Streptophyta; Magnoliopsida; Poales; Poaceae. The record is from RefSeq and is a predicted model, not a curated record.